RNAcentral lists this ribosomal RNA (736 nucleotides) under Allocryptovalsa rabenhorstii. Its description in RNAcentral is "partial large subunit ribosomal RNA". It matches the Rfam family "Eukaryotic large subunit ribosomal RNA", at positions 111 to 871 of the family's 3401-position model. The record is from RNAcentral. Lineage: Eukaryota; Fungi; Ascomycota; Sordariomycetes; Xylariales; Diatrypaceae.
AAAUUUGAAAUCUGGCCUUACGGUCCGAAUUGUAAUUUGUAGAGGAUGCUUUGGGCGCGGUGCCUUCCGAGUUCCUUGGAACAGGACGCCUUAGAGGGUGAGAGCCCCGUACGGUUGGACACCAAGCCUAUGUAAAGCUCCUUCGACGAGUCGAGUAGUUUGGGAAUGCUGCUCUAAAUGGGAGGUAAAUUUCUUCUAAAGCUAAAUACCGGCCAGAGACCGAUAGCGCACAAGUAGAGUGAUCGAAAGAUGAAAAGUACUUUGAAAAGAGGGUUAAAUAGCACGUGAAAUUGUUGAAAGGGAAGCAUUUAUGACCAGACCUUUGCUAGGCGGAUCAUCCGGUGUUCUUCACCGGUGCACUUCGUCUAGCUUAGGCCAGCAUCGAUUUCUGUAGGGGGAUAAAGGUCUAGGGAACGUAGCUCUCUCCGGAGAGUGUUAUAGCCCUAGGCGCAAUACCUUUACGGGGAUCGAGGUUCGCGCUUCGGCAAGGAUGCUGGCAUAAUGGUCAUCAAUGACCCGUCUUGAAACACGGACCAAGGAGUCGAACAUUUAUGCGAGUGUUUGGGUGUUAAACCCUCACGCGUAAUGAAAGUGAACGGAGGUGAGAGCCCUUAAGGGUGCAUCAUCGACCGAUCCUGAUGUCUUCGGAUGGAUUUGAGUAAGAGCAUAACUGUUCGGACCCGAAAGAUGGUGAACUAUGCGUGGAUAGGGUGAAGCCAGAGGAAACUCUGGUGGA